AGAGUUUGAUCCUGGCUCAGAUUGAACGSUGGCGGCRUGCCUKACACAUGCAAGUCGAACGGUAACAGCACUUCGGUGGCUGACGAGUGGSGAACGGGUGAGURAUACAUCGGAACGUGCCCGAGAGUGGGGGAUAACGCAGCGAAAGCUGUGCUAAUACCGCAUACGAUCUACGGAUGAAAGCAGGGGACCGCAAGGCCUUGCGCUCAUGGAGCGGCCGAUGGCAGAUUAGGUAGUUGGUGGGAUAAAAGCUUACCAAGCCGACGAUCUGUAGCUGGUCUGAGAGGACGACCAGCCACACUGGGACUGAGACACGGCCCAGACUCCUACGGGAGGCAGCAGUGGGGAAUUUUGGACAAUGGGCGAAAGCCUGAUCCAGCCAUGCCGCGUGCAGGAUGAAGGCCUUCGGGUUGUAAACUGCUUUUGUACGGAACGAAAAGGUCUUCUCUAAUAAAGAAGGCUCAUGACGGUACCGUAAGAAUAAGCACCGGCUAACUACGUGCCAGCAGCCGCGGUAAUACGUAGGGUGCAAGCGUUAAUCGGAAUUACUGGGCGUAAAGCGUGCGCAGGCGGUUAUAUAAGACAGAUGUGAA
RNAcentral lists this ribosomal RNA (593 nucleotides) under uncultured bacterium. Its description in RNAcentral is "bacterial SSU rRNA". It matches the Rfam family "Bacterial small subunit ribosomal RNA", at positions 8 to 598 of the family's 1533-position model. The record is from RNAcentral.